CGCUAGCGGCAGGCUUAACACAUGCAAGUCGAGGGGUAUGGUUCUUCGGAACCAGAGACCGGCGCACGGGUGCGUAACGCGUAUGCAAUCUACCUUUCACAGAGGGAUAGCCCAGAGAAAUUUGGAUUAAUACCUCAUAGUAUAUUGGUCUCGCAUGAGAUCAUUAUUAAAGAUUUAUCGGUGAAAGAUGAGCAUGCGUCCCAUUAGUUAGUUGGUAAGGUAACGGCUUACCAAGACUACGAUGGGUAGGGGUCCUGAGAGGGA
RNAcentral lists this ribosomal RNA (264 nucleotides) under Flavobacterium sp. Its description in RNAcentral is "partial 16S ribosomal RNA". It matches the Rfam family "Bacterial small subunit ribosomal RNA", at positions 34 to 301 of the family's 1533-position model. The record is from RNAcentral. Lineage: Bacteria; Pseudomonadati; Bacteroidota; Flavobacteriia; Flavobacteriales; Flavobacteriaceae.